Molecule: long non-coding RNA, 728 nt
Organism: Pyrus x bretschneideri (Chinese white pear)
Lineage: Eukaryota; Viridiplantae; Streptophyta; Magnoliopsida; Rosales; Rosaceae
Exons: 3
Source: RefSeq, a predicted model, not a curated record
UCCGACGACGAGUCCACUCAAAACUUGAAACUUCCUGAACCUUCUUUUGGCCAUCCAUAUCUUCUGGAACAGGAACCACAUCCACAACGUUGUCGCAUAAUUCUCUCUCUUCGUUUGUGUCGAUGUUCGUUGCAGGUCAAGAGAAGCACAGCAGGCAGGAUUGUCGGUUCCGUAGUAUUAACCAUUCCAUUGUGAAACGAUCAGCAAAAAGAUAGCCUACAUGCGUGGAAUAACUGCAUAAUCGCCCUCAAAGAUCAAAUUCAAACGACUCUACCCUAUCAAAGGGUCAUGGGGUACGUUGGCCAGUUCAACACCAAAGAAACUUGGGAACUACGAUAAUGCGGAAGGAGAAACUGUCACAAAAGAGAAAACCGAACCAAUGGUCGCCUUCAGCAGGCCUCCGCCCCUUCCACCAGUUUUCGGCCCAUUGCUUCUUCUCUCGCUGCUAGAAACAUGGUCAAGUCGUGAUAGCAAUGAUGACUGACAGGUGAUUUAGCUGUCCUUGUAAUGCUUGGUAUUGCUUGGCUAAAAGACUUUGUAGAAAUAGAAUCGUCUAGUUGAAGAAAAACCUUCCAAUGUAAAGCAAAAUGUAGCAAGCGUCGCCAAGUAAUUGAGCUGCAGCGUUCCAAAGUCUUAAGUAGCUUUCUAAAUCACGCGAAGCUCCUCACUUGGUUCUCAAACUUUAAAAUUGCUUAAUAAUUGAUAUGAUCCAUAUGUUUUGAUAUGCA